This 30-nucleotide non-coding RNA is filed under the name Rattus norvegicus (Norway rat). The record is from RNAcentral. Lineage: Eukaryota; Metazoa; Chordata; Mammalia; Rodentia; Muridae.
UGCAAAGACAAUUUUUGCAUCAUUUCCAUU